GCAGCUUGCUGCUUUGCUGACGAGUGGCGGACGGGUGAGUAAUGUCUGGGAAACUGCCUGAUGGAGGGGGAUAACUACUGGAAACGGUAGCUAAUACCGCAUAACGUCGCAAGACCAAAGAGGGGGACCUUCGGGCCUCUUGCCAUCGGAUGUGCCCAGAUGGGAUUAGCUAGUAGGUGGGGUAACGGCUCACCUAGGCGACGAUCCCUAGCUGGUCUGAGAGGAUGACCAGCCACACUGGAACUGAGACACGGUCCAGACUCCUACGGGAGGCAGCAGUGGGGAAUAUUGCACAAUGGGCGCAAGCCUGAUGCAGCCAUGCCGCGUGUAUGAAGAAGGCCUUCGGGUUGUAAAGUACUUUCAGCGGGGAGGAAGGUGAUAAGGUUAAUAACCUCAUCGAUUGACGUUACCCGCAGAAGAAGCACCGGCUAACUCCGUGCCAGCAGCCGCGGUAAUACGGAGGGUGCAAGCGUUAAUCGGAAUUACUGGGCGUAAAGCGCACGCAGGCGGUCUGUCAAGUCGGAUGUGAAAUCCCCGGGCUCAACCUGGGAACUGCAUUCGAAACUGGCAGGCUAGAGUCUUGUAGAGGGGGGUAGAAUUCCAGGUGUAGCGGUGAAAUGCGUAGAGAUCUGGAGGAAUACCGGUGGCGAAGGCGGCCCCCU
Molecule: ribosomal RNA, 662 nt
Filed under: Enterobacter cloacae
Lineage: Bacteria; Pseudomonadati; Pseudomonadota; Gammaproteobacteria; Enterobacterales; Enterobacteriaceae
Description: bacterial SSU rRNA
Rfam family: Bacterial small subunit ribosomal RNA
Source: RNAcentral